CUACGGGAGGCAGCAGUGGGGAAUAUUGGACAAUGGGCGAAAGCCUGAUCCAGCCACGCCGCGUGAGUGAUGAAGGCCUUCGGGUUGUAAAGCUCUGUGGGGAGGGAAGAAAACGGCCGGUAAGAAACGAUCGGUCCUUGACGGUACCUCCUUAGCAAGCACCGGCUAACUCUGUGCCAGCAGCCGCGGUAAUACAGAGGGUGCGAACGUUGCUCGGAAUCACUGGGCGUAAAGCGCGUGUAGGCGGAUCGGCAAGUCAGAUGUGAAAGCCCUGAGCUCAACUUGGGAAUUGCAUCUGAAACUGCCGGUCUUGAGUGUCGGAGAGGGUAGCGGAAUUCCUGGUGUAGAGGUGAAAUUCGUAGAUAUCAGGAGGAACACCGGUGGCGAAGGCGGCUACCUGGACGACUACUGACGCUGAGACGCGAAAGCGUGGGGAGCAAACAGGAUUAGAAACCCGUGUAGUCC
RNAcentral lists this ribosomal RNA (465 nucleotides) under uncultured bacterium. RNAcentral's name for it is "bacterial SSU rRNA". It matches the Rfam family "Bacterial small subunit ribosomal RNA", at positions 339 to 796 of the family's 1533-position model. The record is from RNAcentral.